AGUCGAACGGCAGCACGGGGCAACCUGGUGGCGAGUGGCGAACGGGUGAGUAAUAUAUCGGAACGUACCCUGGAGUGGGGGAUAACGUAGCGAAAGUUACGCUAAUACCGCAUACGAUCUAAGGAUGAAAGUGGGGGAUUCGCAAGAACCUCAUGCUCCUGGAGCGGCCGAUAUCUGAUUAGCUAGUUGGUGAGGUAAAGGCUCACCAAGGCUUCGAUCAGUAGCUGGUCUGAGAGGACGACCAGCCACACUGGAACUGAGACACGGUCCAGACUCCUACGGGAGGCAGCAGUGGGGAAUUUUGGACAAUGGGCGCAAGCCUGAUCCAGCAAUGCCGCGUGAGUGAAGAAGGCCUUCGGGUUGUAAAGCUCUUUUGUCAGGGAAGAAACGGUGAGAGCUAAUAUCUCUUGCUAAUGACGGUACCUGAAGAAUAAGCACCGGCUAACUACGUGCCAGCAGCCGCGGUAAUACGUAGGGUGCAAGCGUUAAUCGGAAUUACUGGGCGUAAAGCGUGCGCAGGCGGUUUUGUAAGUUUGUCGUGAAAGCCCCGGGCUCAACCUGGGAAUUGCGAUGAAGACUGCAAGGCUUGAAUCUGGCAGAGGGGGGUAGAAUUCCACGUGUAGCAGUGAAAUGCGUAGAGAUGUGGAGGAACACCGAUGGCGAAGGCAGCCCCCUGGGUCAAGAUUGACGCUCAUGCACGAAAGCGUGGGGAGCAAACAGGAUUAGAUACCCUGGUAGUCCACGCCCUAAACGAUGUCUACUAGUUGUCGGGUUUUAAUUAACUUGGUAACGCAGCUAACGCGUGAAGUAGACCGCCUGGGGAGUACGGUCGCAAGAUUAAAACUCAAAGGAAUUGAC
This 858-nucleotide ribosomal RNA is filed under the name uncultured bacterium. RNAcentral describes it as "bacterial SSU rRNA". It matches the Rfam family "Bacterial small subunit ribosomal RNA", at positions 60 to 914 of the family's 1533-position model. The record is from RNAcentral.